This is a long non-coding RNA of Epinephelus fuscoguttatus (brown-marbled grouper), 527 nucleotides long. RefSeq lists it as uncharacterized. The record is from RefSeq and is a predicted model, not a curated record. The transcript has 5 exons. Lineage: Eukaryota; Metazoa; Chordata; Actinopteri; Perciformes; Serranidae.
UUGCAAACAACAGGUAAAGACACAUUGUUAAGCUUAAACAAACCUGACUGUUUUUACAGCUCACAGGACAAAACCAACAGCUACAGCUACUGUUUCCAGACCUGCUGAGCCUAGUGACCCCCCUGUGAAAGCUAUAGUGAAGACCCCACUGCCAGUCCCUCCUUAGCCGUUUGCCAUCGCUCCACAACUUGGGAUAGAAGAGCAGACGCCCAAUGUGUUUAGACAAACUUUUUUAAAAGCACAUGAAAAGCCAGUCUCCCACAGUUCAUCUUCUGGGCCUGGGAUAACAGCAGCUCCAUGUCUUCCUGAAGAUUCAUCGUUACAGAAUAUUGCCCCUAUGGAAGCACAAAAAGACACUGUCCUUGAUGAAGCUUCGCCAUGUCCAGCACCUCCUGUCCCAUUAGAUGCCCCACACCAGCCUGCAGCCUCUGUCCCAGGCCAUGAUCAGGAUGUUGCACAGUAGAAGAUCUGGAUGAAGACUGAGAUGGAGGCAUUGGGGCUGUGGCCGCGGUCAUGUCCAGUACGUC